Molecule: long non-coding RNA, 501 nt
Organism: Tympanuchus pallidicinctus (lesser prairie-chicken)
Lineage: Eukaryota; Metazoa; Chordata; Aves; Galliformes; Phasianidae
Exons: 3
Source: RefSeq, a predicted model, not a curated record
CUUUUAAAGCGGCCGCGGCUGUGUGAGGGUGUGGUGGGGCUUCGUCUGCGGCGCUUUGGUCUGCAGGGCGUGCGAUCCCGGCCUUCUCGGUUUGUGGGCGCGUUUCCUCUAGUAUCCUUCUCCAGAGGAAUACCAAAUUUGAUCUCCCCAGUGAUUUGAGGUCCUUAGAUUGGAAAUGCCAAGCACGCUUUGAGGCAGGGCUGGAACAGCAAUGGUGAACAACAGGAGAAGUGCAAAGGAGAUGUGCACAGCUCUUGCUAAAUGCAAAGCUGGGAAUCUCAUGCCCCUUAGGCAGGAACCACUUUUUCAUGGGAUGAUUCACAUUUGUGUGUUAUUUGUACAGUGCACAGUGAUAACUGUGAUCCAUGAUAAGAUCAUAAUCCCUGGGAAGCCUUAUGUACCUCAGGUAAGGUAUAAGCCUGGCUUAUGAGCAGCACUGGAUAUUACCUGACUCAGAAGUCAUGCACAACUUCUAUGGGGGUUGAAGGUGUACAUCCUGUA